RNAcentral lists this ribosomal RNA (254 nucleotides) under uncultured bacterium. Its description in RNAcentral is "partial 16S ribosomal RNA". It matches the Rfam family "Bacterial small subunit ribosomal RNA", at positions 524 to 777 of the family's 1533-position model. The record is from RNAcentral.
UACGUAGGGUGCGAGCGUUGUCCGGAAUUAUUGGGCGUAAAGGGCUCGUAGGCGGUCUGUCACGUCGGGAGUGAAAACUCAGGGCCUAACCCUGAGCCUGCUUCCGAUACGGGCAGACUAGAGGUAUGCAGGGGAGAACGGAAUUCCUGGUGUAGCGGUGAAAUGCGCAGAUAUCAGGAGGAACACCAAUAGCGAAGGCAGCUCGCUGGGACGGUACUGACGCUAAGGCGCGAAAGCGUGGGGAGCGAACGAGG